This 559-nucleotide long non-coding RNA is filed under the name Arachis ipaensis. RNAcentral describes it as "long non-coding RNA (AIPA_LNC001260)". The record is from RNAcentral. Lineage: Eukaryota; Viridiplantae; Streptophyta; Magnoliopsida; Fabales; Fabaceae.
UUCGAUGUCGUGAUCUGUUUGUUAAGUGUUUCAGGCUUUAUAGGGCAGGAAUGGCUUAGAGAAUGGAGAGGAAGCUUGCAAAAAUGGAAGGAACACAAAAAACUAAGGAGAUGACCAGCGAGCACCGAUGCGCACGCAUGGCUCACGCGAGCGCGCGGAAUGGAGAAAUUUACAGCGACGCGUGCACGUGCCUGACGCGUACGCGUGGAUUGGAGUCUGCACAAAAGAUGCGCACACGUGGACGACACGUACGCAUGACAAGGAAAUUCGCCAAAUGACGCGUACGCGUGACUUGCGCGAUCUACAGAAUUAACAGAAAAUGUUGGGGGCGAUUUCGAGCCGAGUUUUGACCCAAUUUUCGGUCCAGAAAUACAGAAUAAAGCCAGAAAACAUACAGAGACUCAACAUACAUUCACAUAUUCUCAUUAGGAUAGUUUUAGGUUUUGAUAUCUGAAUCUAGAGAGAGAAUUACCUUUCCUCUAGUUUUUCUUUACAUUCAUAGUUUAUUAGUUUUAUGCUUUUGCUUUUGGAUAUUGAAGAGUCAUCACCUCCGUUGAAG